This 71-nucleotide transfer RNA is filed under the name candidate division CPR3 bacterium. RNAcentral's name for it is "tRNA-Pro". It matches the Rfam family "tRNA". Rfam says of the family: Transfer RNA (tRNA) molecules are approximately 80 nucleotides in length. Their secondary structure includes four short double-helical elements and three loops (D, anti-codon, and T loops). Lineage: Bacteria; candidate division CPR3. The record is from RNAcentral.
CGGAGCGUAGCAUAACGGUAGUGUGCACGCAUGGGGUGCGUGUGGCCCGGGUUCGACUCCCGGCGUUCCGA